RNAcentral lists this ribosomal RNA (482 nucleotides) under uncultured bacterium. RNAcentral describes it as "partial 16S ribosomal RNA". It matches the Rfam family "Bacterial small subunit ribosomal RNA", at positions 30 to 505 of the family's 1533-position model. The record is from RNAcentral.
AUUGAACGCUAGCGGGAUGCUUUACACAUGCAAGUCGAACGGCAGCGCGGACUUCGGUCUGGCGGCGAGUGGCGAACGGGUGAGUAAUGUAUCGGAACGUGCCCAGUAGCGGGGGAUAACUACGCGAAAGCGUAGCUAAUACCGCAUACGCCCUACGGGGGAAAGCAGGGGAUCGUAAGACCUUGCACUAUUGGAGCGGCCGAUAUCGGAUUAGCUAGUUGGUGAGGUAACGGCUCACCAAGGCGACGAUCCGUAGCUGGUUUGAGAGGACGACCAGCCACACUGGGACUGAGACACGGCCCAGACUCCUACGGGAGGCAGCAGUGGGGAAUUUUGGACAAUGGGGGCAACCCUGAUCCAGCCACCCCGCGUGUGCGAUGAAGGCCUUCGGGUUGUAAAGCACUUUUGGCAGGAAAGAAACGUCGCGGGCUAAUACCCCGUGGAACUGACGGUACCUGCAGAAUAAGCACCGGCUAACUACG